Molecule: ribosomal RNA, 1244 nt
Filed under: metagenome
Description: bacterial LSU rRNA
Rfam family: Bacterial large subunit ribosomal RNA
Source: RNAcentral
UGAGUACGAGACGCUAAGGCGUCGAAGUAGUGGAUGUCAUACUUCCAAGAAAAGCUUGCACUGUCAUAAAUACAAAACGCCUGUACCAUAACCGACACAGGUGGGUAGGUAGAGUAUACUAAGGGGCGCGAGAUAACUCUCUCUAAGGAACUCGGCAAAAUAACUCCGUAACUUCGGGAGAAGGAGUGCCUUAUUCGUAAGGCUGCAAUAACAAGAUCCAAGCAACUGUUUAUCAAAAACACAGGUCUCCGCUAAGUCGUAAGACGAUGUAUGGGGGCUGACGCCUGCCCAGUGCCAGAAGGUUAAAGAAGUCGGUUAGCAUUAGCGAAGCUGGUAACUGAAGCCCUGGUGAACGGCGGCCGUAACAAUAACGGUCCUAAGGUAGCGAAAUACCUUGUCGGGUAAGUUCCGACCCGCACGAAAGGCGUAAUGAUUUGGAUACUGUCUCGGAGAGGGGCUCGGUGAAAUAGACUUGUCUGUGAAGAUGCGGACUACCUGCACCAGGACAGAAAGACCCUAUGAAGCUUUACUGUAAUUUGAAAUUGAAAUUGGACUUUAUUCGCGCAGUAUAGGUGGGAGGUGUUGAUUAUAAUCUUGCGGGAUUAUUGGAGCCAUCAGUGAGAUACCACUCUUGUAAUGUUAGAUUUCUAACUUUGAAUCAUUAUCUGGUCAAAGAACAGUUUCAGGCGGGCAGUUUGACUGGGGCGGUCGCCUCCUAAAUGGUAACGGAGGCGUACAAAGGUUUCCUCUGAACGGGUAGAAAUCGUAUCUAGAGUGUAAAGGCAUAAGGAAGCUUGACUGUGAGACCUACAAGUCGAGCAGGGACGAAAGUCGGUCUUAGUGAUCUGACGGUACUGAGUGGAAAGGCCGUCACUCAACGGAUAGAAGUUACUCUAGGAUAACAGGCUGAUCUCCCCCAAGAGUUCACAUCGACGGGGAGGUUUGGCACCUCGAUGUCGGCUCAUCGCAUCCUGGGGCGGUAGUACGUCCCAAGGGUUGGGCUGUUCGCCCAUGAAAGCGGUACGCGAGCUGGGUUCAGAACGUCGUGAGACAGUUCGGUCCAUAUCCGGUGUAGGCGUUAGAAUAUUGAGAGGAGCCUUCUUUAGUACGAGAGGACCGAGAAGGACAUACCUCUGGUGUACCAGUUAUCGUGCCAACGGUAAACGCUGGGUAGCUAUGUAUGGAGUGGAUAACCGCUGAAAGCAUCUAAGUGGGAAGCCCACCUCAAGAUAAGUAUUCUCAUC